RNAcentral lists this transfer RNA (67 nucleotides) under Moxostoma breviceps (smallmouth redhorse). RNAcentral's name for it is "tRNA-Ser". The record is from RNAcentral. Lineage: Eukaryota; Metazoa; Chordata; Actinopteri; Cypriniformes; Catostomidae.
AGGAGGGCCCCGAAGCAGCAGGUACUGCUAAUACUUGCACUCACGGUUAAACCCCGUGGCUUCCUCG